AGAAAUCCAGUGUGAGGCAAGAUGCAAAAGCCAUCAGCGCCCCAGCCGCAGCAGUCUGCAAGGGGCAGGACAGCUCCGUGCCGUGUGGCUCUGGGAUGGCAGUAAGCGAAGUUCAACACCUGCUGAAGGAAUGUGCAGGUUGGAUGUUAAUCUUUGGCAUGUUUCAGAGAGUUCAGAUAGAGAUCCCUGGAAAUGAGCAGGAAGGAGCCUGUGUGAGCUGACCUCAGCUAGCAGGGUGGCUUCACAUGUGGGGAUAGCAGUUCGCCAGAGAGAAACACAAGCUGAAGGCAAGUAAAUAACCUCUUCCCUGUGGAGUAUAACUCCAGCCUAAACCUGAACCUAACCUGCCCCCAAGGCAGGUCGGGCUUGAAAACCCUGCACACAAGACAUUAGGGAUUUCCAGCUACUUUUUGUGACUGUAAGCUGUAAUUCAGGCUGUAAGGCUUCAGCCUGAAUUUUUGAGAAUGUUUCUCUGCCCACAUAGUGCCAUGAAUAUGCAUGGUGUGGCAUAGCAUGCCUGAAUCUCCUGGGGUGAAGGUGAAUGGAGAAAGUGGAUCUAGUGCUGAAACAGCUGAAGAAAACGUGGUUGUUCCUGCAUUGGCUGUUGGCUAGACUAGUUGGGUCAGCCACAACUUGGAGGACAAUUAAUGGCCACCCUUGGCUGGUAGUAAGAUCAGUGGCUAAGCAGCGCUUAUAGGGCUAGUCAAUGACUGAAAUUCAGAUGCAGCCAUAAAGGUUAUUCAUUAAGCCUCUGCUUUUAAUCUCUCACUCUUUCUUUCAGCCAACAUAUUCCCUUCUAACCAGCCUCUCCGACCCUGAAGAGCUCUCAUCUGCUUUACUUCCAUGUGGUGAUAGGAGAGCUGCGUAAAACAAUUGUAAAAACACCCACAUUAACUGGCUCCUUGUCUAACCAAUCCCCAUCUGUUGCAACCCCUAGUGAUCGCAUUGCUACCCUAGACUCAUUAAACCAUUCCAUAUGGGAAGCCUUGCCAAGUACAUAACCUUGCCCACAACAAAGCCUAGACAAGGAACUGUGAUGUUAGGAAAAACAAUACAAAUCAAGACAACGGUUAACAUAUUGGGAGAACAUGUAAGCAGUCUGCCAGUUGUAAAUUGUAAAUUCCAGUUGCCCACCGUGUGGUGGGGAGAGAGGAAUGUGAGCAAUGCCAGCACACAUGCUCACAUCUCAGACCAUUUGCACCAACUGCUUUGACUCCUCUCAGUGCAAUGGUGUUUGCAUGUUACCUGCUGUUCUUUGUGUGAAGCAAGUUGAUUUGCACGAUUCAAGAUAAUAUAAGUCUGUACAUUUCUUACAUAGCUUUACAAACCCAGGGUGCCUGCAGCCUCCUGUGCAUGGCUUUACAAAUUGAUUUCAAGUCUCGACUUCCUAUGGGCAAUCUUUUUUCUUUUUCUUUUUUUUUUUCUCUCUUUUUUUUUUUUUUUUUUUUUAAGAGCACAGUCAUUAGCUCCUUAAAGUGCUUUCUCUGUUUUAUUGUUGUUUCCCCACACGUACACACUGCCUGAACUCUGCGUCUUGGCUCCCUGAAUAAAAUCCCUCUUGCAAGAAAAGCUCUAACACACCCUACUACAUUUCCCGUUAUUACAUAUGGCUUUCUUUUAUCCCAUGUAGCAUUUGAACUAACUCGGGCAGUGCAAAAAAAAAUAAUUCAGGUAACUCUAUCCAAGCUGUUUUAGGCUAGCUUUUGCCAUGGUAGGGUGAAAAAAAAUAAAAGAUGUAAUUACAUUGAGAUUUAGUGCUUGGUUAAGGGGCAGGAUCUCACAGGAAAUGCAGUAAGAAGGAAAAGCAAUUCCACUUUUGAAAACCAUAACCAAUGUUCCCUCCAAACCUUGCUGGCUGCCAUUUGCCUUCUGUUUUGCCAAUGUUUUUAUUAGUUACUUUGUAAAGGUGCCAAAGACACGAAGGAACCUGGAUUUUUUUUUUUAUUCCAAGUGUGAUUUAAGUCUCUCCUAGGUGUGAUGGUUGUGUAAAGAUUAUGAAAAGCCAAGCAAUGCCA
Molecule: long non-coding RNA, 2015 nt
Organism: Oxyura jamaicensis (ruddy duck)
Lineage: Eukaryota; Metazoa; Chordata; Aves; Anseriformes; Anatidae
Exons: 3
Source: RefSeq, a predicted model, not a curated record